AUGGCGGAGGAACCGUCCGACAAGCGUCAUCAUGCCGAGACGUCGGACAAGAGGAGCAACCUCGUCGACAUUAAUGUCACCGGUGAGAAGCGCGAGUACACCAGAACGCUCAAAGGGGUUGAGCUCCACGGCAAGGAGACGCUAGAGAUCGUCUGCACCAGCAAACCAGACAAGGCCGAGGAGGUGAUCUCCAGGCUCUGGAGGAAGCUUGGCGGCAGGUUUCGUAGGAUCGUCGGUGUUGGUGUGCACUACACCAACGAAGAUGAACCUCCCCAGAUGGCAGUAGUCCUGCAGUUGUGCGUCAACGAACUCUGCUUGGUGUACCACAUUGCAGCGGCCACAAAAUGGUGA
This 351-nucleotide ribosomal RNA is filed under the name Triticum aestivum (bread wheat). Its description in RNAcentral is "partial small subunit ribosomal RNA". The record is from RNAcentral. Lineage: Eukaryota; Viridiplantae; Streptophyta; Magnoliopsida; Poales; Poaceae.